CCACAAAGACUUGAAGAAACAGCACUUCUCUAAUUCUUCCCAAAAGUUCUGAGAACCACCAAAUCCUAAAGGAUUACACCCACCAGUCUUCCUGAUUUCAGAUGUAAGUGGGGUGCAGGAGUUCCUCAGAUGAGGGGUGGAGGGAGGCAAGCAGCCGGCCCCAAUGGACAUAGCCCAUCGAGAGCACCACAGGAGACUGUCUAAAGCAAAGCUCAAAGUGCAGCAGGAAUUCUAAAAAGCCUAAAAGAUCCCCAAGAUAACUUGAAGAAAGACCAUGAGAAGCAAUGUAGAUUUUCCUAAUCAAAAUACAAGGUUACACCAUGUCAACAACCAGCAGAUGGGGAAAAGGAACGUCCUAGGAAGCUCAAAGAACACGCUUGGAAACGGAGCUAUAAAUACCAGGCUAAUUCCAUAGCUUUAAGAUUUCUCCAAAGCUUUUUUAAAUCCCUCCAGAAAAGGCUGAAGAGAUCCCUAAUCUGAAGUGGCCCAGUUGAAGGAACGUGUGUGUUUUUAUUUUUAAAUAAAGUUACAUCCACAAUAGUGUUGGGAAUUUUA
Molecule: long non-coding RNA, 555 nt
Filed under: Cyanistes caeruleus (blue tit)
Lineage: Eukaryota; Metazoa; Chordata; Aves; Passeriformes; Paridae
Description: lncRNA (ENSCCEG00000013659.1)
Source: RNAcentral